Non-coding RNA from Lupinus albus (white lupine), 542 nucleotides. The record is from the annotation of a GenBank genome assembly. NCBI's taxonomy places the organism in Eukaryota, Viridiplantae, Streptophyta, Magnoliopsida, Fabales, Fabaceae.
UAUUUCUAAUGUAAAACUUUACUUCAAUUGAUAUAAAGUAGAUGUAAAAAUAUGUAAAGAAAAGUUGCAUGGGGGAAUAUGAUUUUAUCAUCAAUAAAUUCCUUAUAGAUCUCAUGAUGAUAUUUACAUGUGAAUGUUGAUCGUUUAUGUUCUUGACAUAUCAAUGAAGUGUGUUGAUGGUAAUACCUUAAAGAAGGAUUUAAUUGUAGUUAUAAGGGAUUGAAGGAAAAAAUGUGCAGAAGUUAGCAUGCUUUUUCGGUUAAUUUGUUAUCCAAAGUUUAAGGAUGAGCCCAACACUUGAAUUUUACCCCUAAAGCCAAUACUCAGUAAGAAUUUUUGAUGCAUUUGUAAUUUCUUUAUUAGUUUGGCUUUACUUAUCAUUCAUGUGAUGAUGUUAUUAAACCUUAGAUUUUGUGCCAUUUAAAAGGAAUGUAAAUCUUAGAGAUAAAAAUGUGAUGUUUCUUUCUCUCCUGGUUACAUUUCUGAAAUAUUGAGAUUUGUUUUGCACCUGAUCUAUGGGAAGAUAAUUAGUGAACUGGAGU